RNAcentral lists this ribosomal RNA (449 nucleotides) under uncultured bacterium. RNAcentral describes it as "partial 16S ribosomal RNA". It matches the Rfam family "Bacterial small subunit ribosomal RNA", at positions 29 to 523 of the family's 1533-position model. The record is from RNAcentral.
AACGAACGCGGGCGGCAGGCUUAACACAUGCAAGUCGAACGAGAUCUUCGGAUCUAGUGGCAGACGGGUGAGGAACACGUGGGAACAUCCCUUUCAGUUCGGAAUAACGUUGGGAAACUAACGCUAAUACCGGAUACGUCCUUCGGGAGAAAGAUUUAUCGCUGAAAGAUUGGCCCGCGUCUGAUUAGCUAGUUGGUGAGGUAACGGCUCACCAAGGCUACGAUCAGUAGCUGAUCUGAGAGGAUGAUCAGCCACAUUGGGACUGAGACACGGCCCAAACUCCUACGGGAGGCAGCAGUGGGGAAUAGUGGACAAUGGGCGCAAGCCUGAUCCAGCCAUGCCGCGUGAGUGAUGACGGCCUUCGGGUUGUAAAGCUCUUUUGUCCGGGAAGAUAAUGACUGUACCGGAAGAAUAAGCCCCGGCAAACUUCGUGCCAGCAGCCGCGGUAA